CGUUAUGACGUGUUGGGAAUGAUGGCUGUUGUUGGGUUGUUGUGUGUAGCCUAGCAGGUUUAUUGACUGUCUGAAUGUGGUUUAUUGACGGUAAUAUUUCAAUGAAACCUUUUGACUCGGAUGAAGAAGAGGGAGAGCAGCCGGGAGCCAAGCGAAAGGAGCUGAGACGACGAGCAAACCAGAGCCUCCAACAGCUGAGCGGUGCUCUGGACCAGCUGGACCCUGAUGAAGAGGAUGUCCGACCCGCUGCAGGUGACGUCUUCCCUGAGGAGGACAAGACAGCAUGGAGUCACAAGACUCAGAGUGAAGCAGUUAACCAGCUGAAGAGCCUCCUGUUGAAGCAAGGCAGAGAAAUCCCCACCUCUUUAUCCCCUUCAGGGAAGCAAUCUCCAUCUAAGAAAGUGCGCCUGGAUGGCAGGUCCAGUUUACCAGCCUUUCGGGACUUGGUUCCAAUGAAUUAUGACCAGUCUGAGUACAUUCAGCACCUGGAAGCUGAAGUAAAGUUCUGCAAGGAGGAGCUGCAGGGACUGAAGCAGCGGAUCAGAGUGGUGGUGGUUGAAAAUGAGAAGCUGCAGUCUGAGCUCAAAUCCAGGAUUGCGGAUCAGUCUCUGAAAGAUUAUCCAAUCCAUAAUUCUAUGGUGCAAAACAACAACUUGAUAACCUCAAAAACGGAGCAUAACACCUGGAAAAAUGACCUGGAGCAGUUAAAAGUGAUCCACCAGGCCCAGACUGAAAGCUUGGAGGCUCAACUCAUCUCUCUCAGAAAGGAUCUCUCAGUGAGUCAGAAGGAGUGUGAGGAGGUGAAGGUUCGUCUGAGACACAAAGAGCAGCAGGUUGCAGAAGCGUUGAAGGCCGAUGGAGUUGCCCGUGUAGCCGGGUUGUGUCUGCAGUGUGCGCAGCAUGAAGCGGUGGUGGCUGGAACUCAUGCAAAUCUGCAUGUGCAGGCUAUUGAUAGGCUCACAAAGGAACGGGAUGAAUUGCUGGCAGCUCUGCGUGCGGUGCGGGCGAGUCAACAAGAGGCCCAGCAGAGAGAGUGGUCAGCCUGCCUGCAGGUCAAACAGGCUGUGGAGAUAGCCGAAGAAGCCAAUCUACAAAAAACUAGGGUGGAGAUGCAGUGUGAGCAAUUAUCCAGGGAGCUGGCGCGACAGAGGGAACAGCUGGACAGAGAGGCGCAUGCAGUGCGGGCCAAGAUGGCGGAGGCCCGAGAGGAGGGCCGGGCUGAGGCACGCAAACAAAAAGAAGAGCUAGCACAAACGGCGUCCAGCCUGUCUCAGCAGGUAGCCGAGCUGGAGGGGCAGCUGGACCGAGCUCACAGAGACAGGAGUUCACUGACCAAUCAGCUGGAAGAUACGCUCAGCAAGCUGACCAAUCAGGAACAAGACAAUGCCAAGGUAUGUAUGGAUCUGCGGUAUCAGCUUAGCAAUGCCAGCCUGAAGAAAGAGGAGGCUGAGCGAGAGCUCAGAGAGCUGAAGGCCAAGACGAGCAGGCAGAAGGAAAAAGCUGCACAGGAAGUGGAAAGUCUGAGCUCAGAGCUGGUUUGCUGUCGGCAGCGUUUGGAGGCGGCCCAAAGGGUUGGGAGCCAAUGGCAGUCCAAAGCUCUGAGCCUGGAAGAACAGCUGGCAAAUGCCCAGCGCCAACUGCACCUCACCAGCAGUAACCAGGUCUCGUGCUUUGGAUCGUGGUGUCUCCAUCGUCUGGUUGUACCAGGAGAUGCUCAGAGGAAAAGUCAACAGAAAGGCAGGAACUGCAGGGAGACAGGACAGAGAGAGUGCGGCGCGGGAUCAUGCAGAGGAAAUGGCGUCUGUGACCCUUUCAGCGCGGGAACGGGAGAAGGAGCUGGCUGUCAUGCUGCAGAAAUCGGAGGCUCAACACCUGCAGAGAGUCGGAGAGAUGGAGAAUCUCAUGGGUUCCCAGAAUUCCCUGAUCGGGAAGCUCAAAGAGGAAUGCUGCAAACUUGGGGCCAAACUGGAAGAGUUGUCUCAUCAAAGCAGGAGCGAGCUGGAACAGCUGGCUCUGGAGAGGCAGCACUCGGAGGAGACGGUGAAGAGCCUGAGAGCGCGCUGCUCGGAAAUGGAGGAGCAGUGUGUCCAGCAUGGACGCAUGCACCAGCGCAUGAAGGACAGGCUGCAGCAGUUGGACCGACACUGUCAGAGCAGCGCCCAGCAGGUGUGUGAGCUUCUGGCCAAACAGAGCCAGCUGAUGCAGGAAAGAAACGCGCUUAGUGAGGAGAUGCAGAACCUACGCAUCGAGUUACCCAAUCUGAGACGAAAUGAACCAGUGAGCACAUGAGCACAUCGGUUCUGGUUCCUCCUCUUCAGUCUUUCGUUCUGGAUGUUUUCUACUCUGUUGAACAGAAACAAAAAGGACAGUUUUUCUACUCUAUUCCCCAUUAGGAUGUGUUUUAUGUAACUCUCACUGUGAAUGAUGUGUUUAAGGUGUGAGGUAUCAAGGUGUUUAACAUUAAUAAAACCCAAAGCAACACUUUUAAAAUUGCUUGAUUUGCUUUUCUUAUCUUGUUUAUUGGAGUUUGGUUUAUCCCGUUGGCCUGUGAAAUUGAUCAAAUAUUGUUUUGACCUCAAACAAUCUCAGAAUUUGUCAUUGUCAAAAUUUUCCUUCCCUUUUUGCUUUUGCGCUGUAAAAUCACAACGGCAAUGGUGUUAAAAUACUGUUCACAGCGAAAAGAACUCUAAUGUGUAGUUUAGACAAAAAGCAUAAUGAUGGACAGUGGCAGCUAAUCCAGUAGUUCAUAAAAGUGAUGUCUGUAUUCAUACAGGAGAAACACUUUUUUGUAUGUUUAAUAUACAUUUAUUUCAUUGUAACUCCCAGAAAACAUGAGCCGAGUGAUCAAAGAGUCGUAUCAAAACAGAGGGGAGCUAGCAUUAGCUGGCCAUUUCAGCUAACUCCUCCCCAAAGAUCCUCUCUAAAGGCGAGAUGCAUUUAUUGAGGACUUUGUAGCCAUAUAUGUCAUGUUAUAUGCUCCUCAGUAUCACGGUUAUCUGAAACAUGCGAUAUUGAUGAACCAUGUUCUUAAUAUGUAUACCAUUUUUUUUAAUGAGUUGGAAGUAAAUUCUGAAUCAUUUAACUUUAGAAAAACUGGAAAUAUGCUUUUGCUCAUACAACAUUUUUAUUGAAAUUUGUUGGCUUCUGUAUUUAAGUGGAGAAUAGUUGAUUAUAUAGUCAAAUAUGGAGUUAUGGGACUUUAUAAAUGUAAAAGAAAGGUAUAAAACAAAAGUCUUGUAGCACUCUUGGAUUGAUAAAAACAUAUUUUUGUUAAUUUCUUAAUAAAUGAGAUUAACUUCAGGCCUCAUCAUAUACAAUAAUUUAUGAAUAGUCUAAAUGUUUCCCCCCUUAAAUGUUACUUUCAGACAUUAAAGGUUUCCUUGUUCUUUCAGACCUUUUGGGCAAUAACACACAUGCAAACUGGUAGCUCUAAAGGUACAUGAAUACAGUACAGAACAAAAGUCUGGAUGCACCUUUUAAUUCAAUGAGUUUCCUUUAUUUUCAUGAC
RNA transcript from Xiphophorus maculatus (southern platyfish), 3508 nucleotides. It is a transcript of the gene named serologically defined colon cancer antigen 8, with no coding region annotated. The transcript is spliced from 19 exons. NCBI's taxonomy places the organism in Eukaryota, Metazoa, Chordata, Actinopteri, Cyprinodontiformes, Poeciliidae. The record is from RefSeq and is a predicted model, not a curated record.